This 604-nucleotide long non-coding RNA is filed under the name Mustela putorius furo (domestic ferret). RNAcentral's name for it is "lncRNA (ENSMPUG00000031829.1)". Lineage: Eukaryota; Metazoa; Chordata; Mammalia; Carnivora; Mustelidae. The record is from RNAcentral.
GUCUCACUGAAGUCCUCCAUUCUUCUCAAGUCCACUCCGGUCACGAUGAGUGUCAGGUGCUGCCUGGGGUAGAAACCAGUGACUACAAAGCUGCAAAGGAAAAGGGUUAGUGUCUGAGUGUCUGCAGUCACACCUGUGAGUUCUUUCAGGCUCUGCAUAUUCACCUCAGCGGGACAACACGAGUGCUGCCUCAAGAGAAACUUCUCUUGACUACCUCCUCUGCCACCCCCAAUGUAAAGUGUGGAAUGAGGACAGGAUCUUUGUUUCCUUUGCUGCCCCAUCCUGAAAUCAUGGGACACACUGGCAAGAGAGCUGUCCAAAGAGGAGUACCCAGGCUUUCCUGCCUUCAUCUUGCCUUCAUCUUAUAAGCACCAUGUGGAUACAUUGAGCCGUCCCAGAUAACCCAGGACGACUUCCCCAUUACACCUUAACUUAAUCCAUCUGCCACGCCCCCUUUGCCAGGUAAAGUAACAUAUCCACAGGUUUGGGAUAUUAGGAGGUAGAUGUUUGGGGGGACCAGUGUUCAGCGUACCAUACUAACUGUGACCUCCCCCAAGAAGGGAGGUCUCUGAGACUCCGGUCCCUCAUCUGUAGAACGGUGGGU